GUAGUCUGCAACCCGACUACAUGAAGCUGGAAUCGCUAGUAAUCGCGGAUCAGAAUGCCGCGGUGAAUACGUUCCCGGGUCUUGUACACACCGCCCGUCACACCAUGGGAGCCGGUAACGCCCGAAGUCAGUGACCCAACCGAGAGGAGGGAGCUGCCGAAGGCGGGACAGGUAACUGGGGUGAAGUCGUAACAAGGUAAC
This 201-nucleotide ribosomal RNA is filed under the name uncultured bacterium. RNAcentral's name for it is "partial 16S ribosomal RNA". It matches the Rfam family "Bacterial small subunit ribosomal RNA", at positions 1300 to 1500 of the family's 1533-position model. The record is from RNAcentral.